AGAGUUUGAUCCUGGCUCAGGAUGAACGCUAGCGACAGGCUUAACACAUGCAAGUCGAGGGGCAGCGGGGGUGAUGGCUUGCCAUCACCUGCCGGCGACCGGCGCACAGGUGAGUAACACGUAUGCAACCUGCCCGCCACAGGGGGAUAAGCGGAAGAAAUUCCGUCUAAUACCGCGUGACGCGGCGUCGGGGCAUCCCGGUGCCGCCAAAGGGAUUACCGGUGGCGGAUGGGCAUGCGGCGCAUUAGCUAGUCGGCGGGGUAACGGCCCACCGAGGCGACGAUGCGUAGGGGUUCUGAGAGGAAGGUCCCCCACACUGGUACUGAGACACGGACCAGACUCCUACGGGAGGCAGCAGUGAGGAAUAUUGGUCAAUGGGCGGGAGCCUGAACCAGCCAAGUCGCGUGAGGGAUGACGGUCCUACGGAUUGUAAACCUCUUUUGCCGGGGAGCAAGCGUGCGUUCGUGAACGCGCGUCGAGAGUACCCGGAGAAAAAGCAUCGGCUAACUCCGUGCCAGCAGCCGCGGUAAUACGGAGGAUGCGAGCGUUAUCCGGAUUUAUUGGGUUUAAAGGGUGCGUAGGCGGGAUGCCAAGUCAGCGGUAAAAAUGCGGUGCUCAACGCCGUCGAGCCGUUGAAACUGGCGUUCUUGAGUGGGCGAGAAGUAUGCGGAAUGCGUGGUGUAGCGGUGAAAUGCAUAGAUAUCACGCAGAACUCCGAUUGCGAAGGCAGCAUACCGGCGCCCUACUGACGCUGAGGCACGAAAGCGUGGGUAUCGAACAGGAUUAGAUACCCUGGUAGUCCACGCAGUAAACGAUGAAUGCUAACUGUCCGGUGCGAGUGAGCGCUGGGCGGUACAGCGAAAGCGUUAAGCAUUCCACCUGGGGAGUACGCCGGCAACGGUGAAACUCAAAGGAAUUGACGGGGGCCCGCACAAGCGGAGGAACAUGUGGUUUAAUUCGAUGAUACGCGAGGAACCUUACCCGGGCUCAAACGCAGGAUGACGGGUCCCGAAAGGGGCCUUUCUUCGGACAUUCUGCGAGGUGCUGCAUGGUUGUCGUCAGCUCGUGCCGUGAGGUGUCGGCUUAAGUGCCAUAACGAGCGCAACCCCUGUCCACAGUUGCCAGCAGGUAAAGCUGGGGACUCUGUGGAGACUGCCGGCGCAAGCUGCGAGGAAGGCGGGGAUGACGUCAAAUCAGCACGGCCCUUACGUCCGGGGCGACACACGUGUUACAAUGGCAGGUACAGCGGGAUGCCACGGGGCGACCCGGCGCUGAACCCGAAAACCUGUCUCAGUUCGGAUUGGAGUCUGCAACCCGACUCCAUGAAGCUGGAUUCGCUAGUAAUCGCGCAUCGGCCACGGCGCGGUGAAUACGAUGGCCGGGCCUUGCACACACCGCCCGUCAAG
Molecule: ribosomal RNA, 1406 nt
Filed under: uncultured bacterium
Lineage: Bacteria
Description: bacterial SSU rRNA
Rfam family: Bacterial small subunit ribosomal RNA
Source: RNAcentral